UACGUAGGGUGCGAGCGUUAAUCGGAAUUACUGGGCGUAAAGCGUGCGCAGGCGGUUUUGUAAGCCAGAUGUGAAAGCCCCGGGCUUAACCUGGGAAUGGCAUUUGGGACUGCAAGGCUGGAGUGUGGCAGAGGAGACUGGAAUUCCUGGUGUAGCAGUGAAAUGCGUAGAUAUCAGGAGGAAUACCGAUGGCGAAGGCAGGUCGUCUGGGCUGACACUGACGCUCAUGCACGAAAGCGUGGGGAGC
This 247-nucleotide ribosomal RNA is filed under the name uncultured bacterium. RNAcentral describes it as "partial 16S ribosomal RNA". It matches the Rfam family "Bacterial small subunit ribosomal RNA", at positions 524 to 769 of the family's 1533-position model. The record is from RNAcentral.